GGAAAAAGGAAACCUCUGAAGAGGCUCUGAGCUCACAAUUUCAUAAAGCUGGAGUGAGAAUUGUCUCUAGAAGAGUUGCUGAAGAUGAGGCUAGAGGACCUGAAAGAAAGAUGAUCAAAAUCCUUACGUGCUUGAGUUUGAAGUUCAUUCUGAAAAAAUGCUGUUAGAACACAGUCAUUUAACAAAGGAUGAGGAAUACACAAGCCCAGUUCUUACCAGAGAAGUAGGAAGAGCCCAGUGUUUCUCCUUGAAGAGGGAGCAGUUUCUUAGGAAAUGGGGACCGCUUGAGUCUCAGCGAUAACAACAGCUACAGAAAUAAUGCAGUAUCCCAGAAAUAGCGUCUUUCAGAGCCACGUCUGAGACAAACACCUAUCUUGGUGAUGCCAAGGUGAUAAGCAACAACUUUUGGUGCUCAGGUAAAAGAGGAGGAAUACCAUCAGUUAGGGUCAGCCACAAGGAAGAUUCCUGAGAUAUUUAGAGGGUAAAAGAAGAGCAGCGGCCAUUUUGUAGUUGAUACUCAGUUACCAACGUGCUGACUCACUUCAUGGGCUUGAAGCAAGAGCUGGGUCUGCAAUUUCUCUACCCUCUCUUGGAUUCCUCCUUCAGUUUCUCUGACUCGUAGGUCAGAAUCGCUUGACAAGCAGUAUGUCAGUGCCCACCUGGGAUCUGAACCUGUGAACCCCAGGCCACUGAAGUGGAGAAUGUGAAAUUAACCACCAUGCCACAGGGCCAGCCCCUGAAAUAGUUAUUUAUAAAGGUCCUGAAGAUUAGAACAUGGAUUCCUGGUAACCAUACCUAAAAAUUCUGCCUACUACUGACGGAAAGAACAUAUUAUUCACUGGGUGCGCUUCUCAGAACCUAGCAGAGCUUCUGAUAUAAAAGAUAAUUGAUGCUUGAGUUAAUUUUUAAGUUGAACUGACUUCAGUUUCAAUUAUUACCAUGUUUUUAAAUUAUCUGUUUUAGUUGCAUGCAUAGUGAAAAAAAUACUUUAAAUAGCGAAUAAGGAAAUAAAAUAGCAAUACAGAAGUAACUGCAAUCCUUUCAUGAUGAACACUGAUCCAUAGGAAAAGAGACUAAAAAAGGAAGAAAAAAUGCCACAAAAUAGAAAGAAAGAAAACCUCUUGAAAAAGGAAAGUGGAGUUUUGCAUAUUUUACAGCUGAGUCUAUCAAAUUUCAAGCUCAAUAAGUAAAUGAUAGUUCUAAGUUAGAAAAGUUGCCUUACUAUUAAAAUGCUUUGAUUAUGUUAAUGACAACAGGUUUUCUAAACCUAAAUCUGCUUAAACUUCAAACAGAAAUCUGGUUUGGAGCUGUAGAAAAGCAAUGCUUGCUAGGGUGCCCUAAAGUGUGCUGUGAUGAAUUAGCGUUUUUGAUUUGGAGGUGAGGCUAUUUUCAUACAUGUAUUUGCGCAUUUGUUUAUGUAAAUCAUCACAGUGUUUUCAGGGUUGCUGUCUCCCUGUAUAUAUGCCAAGACUCUAAUACUUUUUGGCGAUUAUGGCCUCCUUCCCUUCUGCUGAUUGCAGCCUGAGCUUCAUUUUGUGCUAAGGCAUAUAAAGUGAUGACAAAGGUGGACAAUUGUUUCUGGCUGCAGCUCACCCAAAUAAAACUGUUUCAAUUGAUUCAGAGCACUUAUGUCAGCCAAGACCCUAUACUUCUUGACACUGCAUUUUUCCCAGUGAAUAAUAAAUCACUGUGUUUCCAACAACAGCCUCUCUCCCUCUGCCUUUCUCUCUUCUUCCACCAUUAGUCAUGCUGGUCUAGCUCACCACCUGUCACUUGGCAUGCUUCUGCAAAUACUGUUACCCAUGUAGAAAUGGAUUUGGUUUCACUGAAGUUGGGAACACACCUGUGCUUACUUGGGUCUGCAACCCACCAGCUGUAAUCCCUUUAAAGGUAUUUUUUGGCUGUUCCUAUGUAUUCCAUCUGCUCUUUCUUGGCGUGGAUUUUUCAAACAUUUCUAUCAUUAGAAUUCUGAAUUUCAGGUAAUAUAAAUAUGCCUCACAACAAAAUGCAUAAGUAGAUAAAUACAUGGUGGGUAAUCUCGAAAGGAAGAUUAAUGUUAAGUCAUUAACUUGUGUAUGAUUCAUAUACCUAAGCUCCUUUAAUUCUCCCAACAAAUCUAAUGAGGGAAAAUUAUGCAUUAUCCUCAUCAAAUAGGUGAGAUAGUUAGACUUAGGAGAAGCAACUUACCUAGAUCGUUCACCAACUAAGUGAAAGAUCCUGGACUCCAAAUAAGGAGUCUCUGAUUGCAAAGCCCCUGUAAUUGUCCCUUUAGAAGUCACAUUUUCUGCUUAACCAUGCUGCUUUCUUUUAUCCAUUCAUCCAACAUUCAAAGGAUCCCUACUAUGACCCAGACACUGUGCUGUUGGCAAAAUAUUUGUAGCGGCAAGCACACAGUCCUGUCCCACAGAUGCUGGUAGACCAGCAGAAUGAAUGCUCAUGUAAGUGAAUAAUUAUAAUGCAGAUUUUUAAAGGUGCUGCAAGGAAAGUAGGUCUCAAGGUAGAUCUAUCUAGAGUUGCUCUUUGAAUGUAGUAGUCACUACCUGUGUGUGGUUAUUUAAAUAAAUAAAAUUAUUCUAUAAGUAAAAUUAAGAAUUCAGUGUCUCAGUUGCACCAAUCAAACUUCAAGCCUCA
Molecule: long non-coding RNA, 2631 nt
Organism: Equus caballus (horse)
Lineage: Eukaryota; Metazoa; Chordata; Mammalia; Perissodactyla; Equidae
Source: Ensembl